Oreochromis aureus is the source of this 837-nucleotide long non-coding RNA. The record is from Ensembl. NCBI's taxonomy places the organism in Eukaryota, Metazoa, Chordata, Actinopteri, Cichliformes, Cichlidae.
GGAAAAUUUCCCAAAUAGAAAGCUGCCAAAGUAAAACAGAGACACAGUGAGACAAUAUAAAAAAUACCUAUGUACAUGGGUGAACUCUCGGGAGAGUCACACAGUACUCUUCUUUAUUGCAGGUUAUAUAGGCACGUAGGUUACACAGCAGACGGAGGCAGUCUCCGCCUGUUCUCAGAAUAUAUUGCUUAACUGACAAAUGCAUAUCUUACUAAACAUUCUGUCUGUACUAUACUAAACGUCUGCUUAAGUGGCAUUUUCCGUUGCUUUUUGCACAGGAACUUGUCUUCACAGGCAUUUGAUAAGCAUAGGCAAGGUUUCAUGUUUUAUCAGGGUGAAUCAUCAUUCAGAGUUUACACAAUCACAAGCAAAGCAUAUUUGAAUAAUAAACAAAAUCUUUUCACAUACUCUAAAUAACAAUAUCUAUUGCACUGACUUAUUUCUGCAGUGGAACCAAGUAUCACUCCGAGCUUCGAUGUGUCAUUGUGACUGUUGCAAACGGACCAAUAACAACCACACCAACUACUACACCUACAACAACUACCACCAAUACACCAAAUACUACACCUACAACAACUAUUACACCUACAACAACCACCACCAGUACACCAACUACUACACCUACAACAACUGCUACACCUAUAACAACAACUACCACCAGUACACCAACUACUACACCUACAACAACUACCACCAGUACACCAACUACUACACCUACAACAACUACUACCAGCACUUCAACUACUACACCUACAACAACUACUACACCUACAACAACUACUACUAGUACUUCAAGUAAAACUCUUCCUGCAUCAACUACACCCAGUGAACGAUCUU